CCGGUAAACGGCGGCCGUAACUAUAACGGUCCUAAGGUAGCGAAAUUCCUUGUCGGGUAAGUUCCGACCUGCACGAAUGGCGUAAUGAUGGCCAGGCUGUCUCCACCCGAGACUCAGUGAAAUUGAACUCGCUGUGAAGAUGCAGUGUACCCGCGGCAAGACGGAAAGACCCCGUGAACCUUUACUAUAGCUUGACACUGAACAUUGAGCCUUGAUGUGUAGGAUAGGUGGGAGGCUUAGAAGUGUGGACGCCAGUCUGCAUGGAGCCGACCUUGAAAUACCACCCUUUAAUGUUUGAUGUUCUAACGUUGACCCGUAAUCCGGGUUGCGGACAGUGUCUGGUGGGUAGUUUGACUGGGGCGGUCUCCUCCUAAAGAGUAACGGAGGAGCACGAAGGUUGGCUAAUCCUGGUCGGACAUCAGGAGGUUAGUGCAAUGGCAUAAGCCAGCUUGACUGCGAGCGUGACGGCGCGAGCAGGUGCGAAAGCAGGUCAUAGUGAUCCGGUGGUUCUGAAUGGAAGGGCCAUCGCUCAACGGAUAAAAGGUACUCCGGGGAUAACAGGCUGAUACCGCCCAAGAGUUCAUAUCGACGGCGGUGUUUGGCACCUCGAUGUCGGCUCAUCACAUCCUGGGGCUGAAGUAGGUCCCAAGGGUAUGGCUGUUCGCCAUUUAAAGUGGUACGCGAGCUGGGUUUAGAACGUCGUGAGACAGUUCGGUCCCUAUCUGCCGUGGGCGCUGGAGAACUGAGGGGGGCUGCUCCUAGUACGAGAGGACCGGAGUGGACGCAUCACUGGUGUUCGGGUUGUCAUGCCAAUGGCACUGCCCGGUAGCUAAAUGCGGAAGAGAUAAGUGCUGAAAGCAUCUAAGCACGAAACUUGC
This 878-nucleotide ribosomal RNA is filed under the name Escherichia coli. Its description in RNAcentral is "partial 23S ribosomal RNA". It matches the Rfam family "Bacterial large subunit ribosomal RNA", at positions 1920 to 2797 of the family's 2925-position model. Lineage: Bacteria; Pseudomonadati; Pseudomonadota; Gammaproteobacteria; Enterobacterales; Enterobacteriaceae. The record is from RNAcentral.